CACUAUCGUUAACUGAAUACAUAGGUUAACGAGGCGAACCGGGGGAACUGAAACAUCUAAGUACCCCGAGGAAAAGAAAUCAACCGAGAUUCCCCCAGUAGCGGCGAGCGAACGGGGAGCAGCCCGGAGUCUGAAUCAGCUUGUGUGUUAGUGGAACGGUCUGGAAAGUCCGACGGUACAGGGUGAUAGUCCCGUACACGAAAAUGCACAGGUUGUGAACUCGAAGAGUAGGGCGGGACACGUGGUAUCCUGUCUGAAUAUGGGGGGACCAUCCUCCAAGGCUAAAUACUCCUGACUGACCGAUAGUGAACCAGUACCGUGAGGGAAAGGCGAAAAGAACCCCGGCGAGGGGAGUGAAAAAGAACCUGAAACCGUGUACGUACAAGCAGUGGGAGCCUCUUUAUGGGGUGACUGCGUACCUUUUGUAUAAUGGGUCAGCGACUUAUAUUCUGUAGCAAGGUUAACCGUAUAGGGGAGCCGAAGGGAAACCGAGUCUUAACUGGGCGUUAAGUUGCAGGGUAUAGACCCGAAACCCGGUGAUCUAGCCAUGGGCAGGUUGAAGGUUGGGUAACACUAACUGGAGGACCGAACCGACUAAUGUUGAAAAAUUAGCGGAUGACCUGUGGCUGGGGGUGAAAGGCCAAUCAAACCGGGAGAUAGCUGGUUCUCCCCGAAAGCUAUUUAGGUAGCGCCUCGUGAACUCAUCUUCGGGGGUAGAGCACUGUUUCGGCUAGGGGGCCAUCCCGGCUUACCAACCCGAUGCAAACUACGAAUACCGAAGAAUGUUAUCACGGGAGACACACGGCGGGUGCUAACGUCCGUCGUGAAGAGGGAAACAACCCAGACCGCCAGCUAAGGUCCCAAAGUCAUGGUUAAGUGGGAAACGAUGUGGGAAGGCACAGACAGCCAGGAUGUUGGCUUAGAAGCAGCCAUCAUUUAAAGAAAGCGUAAUAGCUCACUGGUCGAGUCGGCCUGCGCGGAAGAUGUAACGGGGCUAAACCAUGCACCGAAGCUGCGGCAGCGACACUAUGUGUUGUUGGGUAGGGGAGCGUUCUGUAAGCCGUUGAAGGUGUGCUGUGAGGCAUGCUGGAGGUAUCAGAAGUGCGAAUGCUGACAUAAGUAACGAUAAAGCGGGUGAAAAGCCCGCUCGCCGGAAGACCAAGGGUUCCUGUCCAACGUUAAUCGGGGCAGGGUGAGUCGACCCCUAAGGCGAGGCCGAAAGGCGUAGUCGAUGGGAAACAGGUUAAUAUUCCUGUACUUGGUGUUACUGCGAAGGGGGGACGGAGAAGGCUAUGUCAGCCGGGCGACGGUUGUCCCGGUUUAAGCAUGUAGGCGGAGGUUCCAGGUAAAUCCGGUACCUUUUAACGCUGAGGUGUGAUGACGAGGCACUACGGUGCUGAAGUGAUAAAUGCCCUGCUUCCAGGAAAAGCCUCUAAGCAUCAGGUAACACGAAAUCGUACCCCAAACCGACACAGGUGGUCAGGUAGAGAAUACCAAGGCGCUUGAGAGAACUCGGGUGAAGGAACUAGGCAAAAUGGUGCCGUAACUUCGGGAGAAGGCACGCUGAUAUGUAGGUGAAGCCCCUGCGGGCGGAGCUGAAAUCAGUCGAAGAUACCAGCUGGCUGCAACUGUUUAUUAAAAACACAGCACUGUGCAAACACGAAAGUGGACGUAUACGGUGUGACGCCUGCCCGGUGCCGGAAGGUUAAUUGAUGGGGUUAGCGGCAACGCGAAGCUCUUGAUCGAAGCCCCGGUAAACGGCGGCCGUAACUAUAACGGUCCUAAGGUAGCGAAAUUCCUUGUCGGGUAAGUUCCGACCUGCACGAAUGGCGUAAUGAUGGCCAGGCUGUCUCCACCCGAGACUCAGUGAAAUUGAACUCGCUGUGAAGAUGCAGUGUACCCGCGGCAAGACGGAAAGACCCCGUGAACCUUUACUAUAGCUUGACACUGAACACUGGUCCUUGAUGUGUAGGAUAGGUGGGAGGCUUUGAAGCGUGGACGCCAGUCUGCGUGGAGCCAUCCUUGAAAUACCACCCUUUAAUGGCUGGUGUUCUAACGUAGACCCGUGAUCCGGGUUGCGGACAGUGUCUGGUGGGUAGUUUGACUGGGGCGGUCUCCUCCCAAAGAGUAACGGAGGAGCACGAAGGUUGGCUAAUCCUGGUCGGACAUCAGGAGGUUAGUGCAAUGGCAUAAGCCAGCUUGACUGCGAGCGUGACGGCGCGAGCAGGUGCGAAAGCAGGUCAUAGUGAUCCGGUGGUUCUGAAUGGAAGGGCCAUCGCUCAACGGAUAAAAGGUACUCCGGGGAUAACAGGCUGAUACCGCCCAAGAGUUCAUAUCGACGGCGGUGUUUGGCACCUCGAUGUCGGCUCAUCACAUCCUGGGGCUGAAGUAGGUCCCAAGGGUAUGGCUGUUCGCCAUUUAAAGUGGUACGCGAGCUGGGUUUAGAACGUCGUGAGACAGUUCGGUCCCUAUCUGCCGUGGGCGCUGGAGAAUUGAGGGGGGCUGCUCCUAGUACGAGAGGACCGGAGUGGACGCAUCACUGGUGUUCGGGUUGUCAUGCCAAUGGCACUGCCCGGUAGCUAAAUGCGGAAGAGAUAAGUGCUGAAAGCAUCUAAGCACGAAACUUGCCCCGAGAUGAGUUCUCCCUGAGACUUUAAGUCUCCUGAAGGAACGUUGAAGACGACGACGUUGAUAGGUCGGGUGUGUAAGCGCAGCGAUGCGUUGAGCUAACCGAUACUAAUGAACCGUGAGGCUUAACCUU
This 2761-nucleotide ribosomal RNA is filed under the name Enterobacter hormaechei. Its description in RNAcentral is "23S ribosomal RNA". It matches the Rfam family "Bacterial large subunit ribosomal RNA". Lineage: Bacteria; Pseudomonadati; Pseudomonadota; Gammaproteobacteria; Enterobacterales; Enterobacteriaceae. The record is from RNAcentral.